Non-coding RNA from Dipodomys ordii (Ord's kangaroo rat), 65 nucleotides. NCBI's taxonomy places the organism in Eukaryota, Metazoa, Chordata, Mammalia, Rodentia, Heteromyidae. The record is from Rfam.
GGUGGCUCAGUGGUAGAGCGCUUGCCUCACAGGCAUGAGGUCCUGGGUUCGAUUCCUCAGCACCA